Homo sapiens (human) is the source of this 592-nucleotide long non-coding RNA. RefSeq lists it as uncharacterized. NCBI's taxonomy places the organism in Eukaryota, Metazoa, Chordata, Mammalia, Primates, Hominidae. The record is from RefSeq and is a predicted model, not a curated record. The transcript is spliced from 3 exons.
AUACCUCCCAACCCACCAGCAGGGGUUAGCCGCUCCAGGGAGAGACCUCCUAUGCGCCAACCCUAACUUCAAGGACAAGGUCCAGAGAGGAAUCAUGGGAUGUCCCAGCUUCCAUACACCGCGAGCCUAGGGAGCAAAAGCAUCUGGGGCCCCUGAAAGCCUGGCACCUGAAAAGGGAUACCCCAGUCGCCAGCUUGUCCUCCUCCCCAACCGGAGCCCGAGGGAGGCGCUGGCAGCAGGAAGCCGGGGAAGGGCCCGGAGGAGCGCAGGCCCCACAGCCGAGCGAAAACAUCAGAUCCGAGAGCGAAGGAGAGUGCAACACUGGACCCAAACUGCUCAACAGUGUCCUCACAGGGACAUGAGGGUGGGGAAGGAUUGCUGACCUGCUAAGGAGCACCCUGAUAUGGGGAUCUGGGAGCACAAGAGGCCCAGGAAGAAUGUGCCCCCUGCACCUUACUUACAUACCCUGCCUGGACUCAGAGAGACCAGAAUCCAGACAACAGUUGCUGCUGGGCACGGCCACUCGUCCUGGCUUGUGGCAGAGGGCUCAGGCACAAGGUGGGCGGUUAGAGCUCUGGCACCAGAGCCCUUC